CCUACGGGGGGCUGCAGUGGGGAAUAUUGCACAAUGGGGGAAACCCUGAUGCAGUGACGCCGCGUGAGUGAAGAAGUAAUUCGUUACGUAAAGCUCUAUCAGCAGGGAAGAAAUACUGACCUUACGGUCAGCAGACGGUACCUGAGUAAGAAGCCCCGGCUAACUACGUGCCAGCAGCCGCGGUAAUACGUAGGGGGCAAGCGUUAUCCGGAUUUACUGGGUGUAAAGGGAGCGUAGACGGUGCGCCAAGUCUGGAGUGAAAUGCCGCAGCUUAACUGCGGAACUGCUUUGGAAACUGGCGAACUAGAGUGCGGGAGGGGUAAGCGGAAUUCCUAGUGUAGCGGUGAAAUGCGUAGAUAUUAGGAGGAACACCGGUGGCGAAGGCGGCUUACUGGACCGUAACUGACGUUGAGGCUCGAAAGCGUGGCGAGCAAACAGGAUUAGAUACCCGGGUAGUC
Molecule: ribosomal RNA, 458 nt
Filed under: uncultured bacterium
Lineage: Bacteria
Description: partial 16S ribosomal RNA
Rfam family: Bacterial small subunit ribosomal RNA
Source: RNAcentral